GCCAGACGGCGACGCUCCGCUGCCCCGGACCGCAGACAGAGAGCAGGACGAGCUGCAGCCUUCCAAAGAACGGCAACAACCUCACCAAAUUCACCAGGUGGACGGAAAUGCUGGUGGGACGAAGGAUGAGGAAACCCUGUCAAAGUCUCCUCCUCAUCCUGGAGC
Salarias fasciatus (jewelled blenny) is the source of this 165-nucleotide long non-coding RNA. RefSeq lists it as uncharacterized. The record is from RefSeq and is a predicted model, not a curated record. The transcript is spliced from 3 exons. NCBI's taxonomy places the organism in Eukaryota, Metazoa, Chordata, Actinopteri, Blenniiformes, Blenniidae.